GGGGUUAUAGCUCAGUUAGAGUGCUUGCCUCACAUGCAUAAGGCCCUGGGUUCAAUCCCCAGCACCACCA
This 70-nucleotide transfer RNA is filed under the name Ictidomys tridecemlineatus (thirteen-lined ground squirrel). Its description in RNAcentral is "Spermophilus tridecemlineatus (thirteen-lined ground squirrel) tRNA". It matches the Rfam family "tRNA". From Rfam's summary of the family: Transfer RNA (tRNA) molecules are approximately 80 nucleotides in length. The record is from Rfam by way of RNAcentral. Lineage: Eukaryota; Metazoa; Chordata; Mammalia; Rodentia; Sciuridae.